GUGGGGAAUAUUGGACAAUGGGCGAAAGCCUGAUCCAGCCAUGCCGCGUGUGUGAAGAAGGUCUUCGGAUUGUAAAGCACUUUAAGUUGGGAGGAAGGGUAGUAACCUAAUACGUUGCUACUUUGACGUUACCGACAGAAUAAGCACCGGCUAACUUCGUGCCAGCAGCCGCGGUAAUACGAAGGGUGCAAGCGUUAAUCGGAAUUACUGGGCGUAAAGCGCGCGUAGGUGGUUCAGUAAGUUGGAAGUGAAAUCCCCGGGCUGAACCUGGGAACUGCUUUCAAAACUGCUUAGCUAGAGUACGGUAGAGGAUGGUGGAAUUUCCUGUGUAGCGGUGAAAUGCGUAGAUAUAGGAAGGAACACCAGUGGCGAAGGCGACCACCUGGACUGAUACUGACACUGAGGUGCGAACGCGUGGGGAGCAAACAGGAUUAGAUACCCCGGUAGUCC
RNAcentral lists this ribosomal RNA (450 nucleotides) under uncultured bacterium. Its description in RNAcentral is "partial 16S ribosomal RNA". It matches the Rfam family "Bacterial small subunit ribosomal RNA", at positions 354 to 796 of the family's 1533-position model. The record is from RNAcentral.